AAUGAACGUUGGCGGCGUGGAUUAGGCAUGCAAGUCGAGCGAGAACCCUCCGCAAGGAGGGGGACAGCGGCGAAAGGGAGAGUAACGCGUGGAUUAUUUGCCCCCGGGACCGGGAUAGACGCGGGAAACUGCGGGUAAUACCGGAUGACGUCUCCGGACCAAAUGGUGUGAUUCCGCCAGGGGAUAAGUCCGCGUCCUAUUAGCUAGUUGGUGGGGUAAUGGCCUACGAAGGCAAUGAUGGGUACUGGGGCUGAGAGCACGACCCAGCUCAAUGGGACUGAGACACUGCCCAGACACCUACGGGUGGCUGCAGUCGAGGAUCUUCGGCAAUGGGCGCAAGCCUGACCGAGCGACGCCGCGUGUGGGAUGAAGGCCUUCGGGUUGUAAACCGCUGUCAGUGGGGAGGAAAUGUCUAGGGGUUCUCCCCUAGAUUUGACCUAUCCGCAGAGGAAGUCAGGGCUAAGUUCGUGCCAGCAGCCGCCGUAA
RNAcentral lists this ribosomal RNA (486 nucleotides) under uncultured bacterium. Its description in RNAcentral is "partial 16S ribosomal RNA". It matches the Rfam family "Bacterial small subunit ribosomal RNA", at positions 28 to 523 of the family's 1533-position model. The record is from RNAcentral.